Molecule: ribosomal RNA, 253 nt
Filed under: uncultured bacterium
Lineage: Bacteria
Description: partial 16S ribosomal RNA
Rfam family: Bacterial small subunit ribosomal RNA
Source: RNAcentral
GACGAGGGAUCCUAGCGUUGUUCGGAAUUAUUGGGCGUAAAGCGGGUGUAGGCGGUUCUAUAAGUCAGGUGUGAAAUCCCAGGGCUCAACCCUGGAAGUGCAUUUGAUACUGUAGAUCUUGAAUGUGGUAGAGGUUACUGGAAUUGCUGGUGUAGUGGUGAAAUACGUAGAUAUCAGCAGGAACACCGGAGGCGAAGGCGGGUAACUGGGCCAACAUUGACGCUGAGACCCGAAAGCGUGGGGAUCAAACAGG